This 663-nucleotide ribosomal RNA is filed under the name uncultured bacterium. RNAcentral describes it as "bacterial SSU rRNA". It matches the Rfam family "Bacterial small subunit ribosomal RNA", at positions 39 to 691 of the family's 1533-position model. The record is from RNAcentral.
GCGGCGCGUUUUAAGCAUGCAAGUCGCACGGUAAAGGUACUUCGGUAUCUCUAGAGUGGCGGACGGGUGAGUAACACGUGGAUAACCUACCCUUUGGUUGGGAAUAGCUCAUGGAAACAUGGGGUAAUACCGAAUACGACCACUGCACCACAAGGUGGAGUGAGGAAAGGCGCUACGGCGCCGCCGAAGGAUGGGUCCGCGGUCCAUUAGCUAGUUGGUGAGGUAAGAGCUCACCAAGGCGAUGAUGGAUAGCCGGCCUGAGAGGGCGACCGGCCACAUUGGGACUGAGACACGGCCCAGACUCCUACGGGAGGCAGCAGCUAAGGAUCUUCCGCAAUGGACGAAAGUCUGACGGAGCGACGCCGCGUGAACGAUGAAGGCCGUGAGGUUGUAAAGUUCUUUUCCGAGGGGAGAAUAAGGAUGGCAGGGAAUGGCCGUCUGAUGACGUGAACUCGGGAAUAAGCCCCGGCUAACUACGUGCCAGCAGCCGCGGUAACACGUAGGGGGCGAGCGUUGUUCGGAAUCAUUGGGCGUAAAGGGUGCGCAGGCGGUGAUACAAGUCUGGUGUGAAAGAUCUCGGCUCAACCGAGGGAUCGCGCUGGAAACUGUGUCACUAGAGUACAGGAGGGGAGUUGGAAUUCCAGGUGUAGGGGUGAAAUCUGU